UCACUUUCCUGAGUUUCAUAACUCUGUCUCCCGUAACUCGGGGCCUCAUGCUCAGUCCUCUCUGACCUCCCACCAUAUCCACCAGACUCAUAUUCCGAGGUGGGCUUCCUCUCAUACCCAGAUCCAUACUCUUCUGACUCCGUUUUUCGCCCAUACCCAGAUUCAGAUCCAUACACUUGCUGAUCAUAUUCACUCUUCCUCCCAUACCCAGAUCCGAACUCCGAACUAGGCUGCUCAUUUUCACUCUUUCGUCCAUAUCCGGAUCCAUACUCGGAACUGGGCUGCUCAUACUCGUUCUUUCGCUCGUACCCAGACUCAUAUUCCGAGGUGGGAUUCCUCCCAUACCCAGAUCCGUACUCCGAACUAGGCUGCUCAUUUUCACUCUUUCGCCCAUAUCCGGAUCCAUACUCGGAACUGGGCUGCUCAUACUCGUUCUUUCGCUCGUACCCAGACUCAUAUUCGGAACU
This 467-nucleotide long non-coding RNA is filed under the name Panax ginseng (ginseng). RNAcentral describes it as "long non-coding RNA (PGIN_LNC018444)". The record is from RNAcentral. Lineage: Eukaryota; Viridiplantae; Streptophyta; Magnoliopsida; Apiales; Araliaceae.